CGUUGGAUGCAAGUGUUGUUCGAGUAAAAUGCUUAAUUAAAUUCUACAUUUAUUUUUUUCUACAAAUAUUUUAUAAAUUCUAUUAUUGUAAACUGACAUAUAGUUACAACACGUACUUUUGUAUGCCAAUGUUGGCCAAGGAAUUCGUAUUUUUCUAAAAAUAUAGAAACCGACGAUUAAACUCUUCUCGAAUAGCGCAAUUGUAAGAAAUGAUGAAAAUACCAACGACAAAAGGUAAAAUUCUUGUCGCAAUUACAAAGUGUCGCUAUAAUAAUCGAAACAUCUGAUCGUGUCGCGAGUGAUGCAGUCGAAUAGUAACUUUUUGAAACGAGUCGGGAUACCAGAUAUUCGAAACUUUCUAACGUUCGGGCAUACUGGAGAAACAGUUACGCAAUUUCCUUCCGGCAAUAGGUUAUUUACUUUCGAUCGUCAUUGACCACGUCGUGCUCGAUCUAACGGGAUUUAAGAUUGAUAAGCUAUCGUCGUACCAUUUCCAGAGAAACAACAAAAACGCAAACGAAAAAUUAUCAUCGCAAUGCUCGAUUCUAAAACGAAUCUAAAACAGGCUGAAAGGAAGAAAGAAGACGCCACGUAGACAGAUGAAACGCACGAUCGUUAUUACCGUUGCAUCUGCCGCCACUGUGCCGGUGACUUCGACGACAUUAUCGAAAGGUCAACGUAGAACUGGUCGUCUCCGGCCACGAAUCACGAACACAUCCAACGCGAGGAUGCACUUUUAAAAGUCACUUGCAAUGCGCGAUGCAGGCUCACGGGUCACGUACAUAAACGUACGUGAUAAUUUUCGAGAGGUCACCAGUUUCAUAUACUUUACAUCAAUGAUUUACAAUUAUAGAAAAUUUUAAAAUAAAUAUAAAUAAAAAUGAUUUAUUUUAUUUAUGGUGGAUUGAAAGGAAUAUGAAAAAGUUCGUUGCGAUUUUUUCUUUAAUAAUAACUUCGAUACAAUACAUUUUCUUGUACGCACAAUUAGGGAAUAAUAAUAUUUUCUAUUUUUAUUCUCUCGUUAAAGGAAAAAAAUCGCUGAAGAAAGGAAAACAUUGUGAUAAUCGAAUCGAUUUGCCUACAGCGGUCGUGUGCCGUGACAGAGGUCGAGUGAAACGGGAAAUUCGCCGCGGAAUGUAGACCCUGUCAAGGAUUACCGGUGAAUAAAGACAUCUAUCAUUCACCGAUUCUUAAUUAAAUGCCAUCGAUUCGAUUGCCAGUAUUAUUACUCCUCGCAUAAUCCUCCGUGCACGUAUAUAAUCGUAAAACGUAAAACAAAAAGCAAUAACCUGUUUGCUCCUCGAAAGGAAGGAAGGGAGGGGAGGGAAAAAUUAAUUUCUUCGAUCAUCUCGUCUACCUUUCUCGAUUUCUCGCGUUCUCGCCUCAUCGCCUGAACGUCCUCCUCCUGUUAUCAGGCCGCCGGUGACACGGCACGGAUGGUCGUUUGCCGAGUGAAAUGCUUCUCGCGAAGGCCUCAAGGCCGACGGGAUACUUCUUGCCUCUCACUUUCGCGCGUACGCCUCUCUGGAGAGGGCCUCGUCGGACAGAGGUCCGCCUCUCUUCCUCUCCCUCGUUCAACAUAUCCUAUUCUUCCAUCCCAUUCCUUUGCGAACGAGGUGAAACGAACGAGGCAAAAAUCGCCAUUUUGAAGAUCGAUCGAGGGAGGGGGGGGGGGGAGAGGA
Molecule: long non-coding RNA, 1682 nt
Organism: Apis mellifera (honey bee)
Lineage: Eukaryota; Metazoa; Arthropoda; Insecta; Hymenoptera; Apidae
Exons: 3
Source: RefSeq, a predicted model, not a curated record